GACGAACGCUGGCGGCGUGCUUAACACAUGCAAGUCGAACGGUAAGGCCCUUCGGGGUACACGAGCGGCGAACGGGUGAGUAACACGUGGGUGGUCUGCCCUGCACUUCGGGAUAAGCCUGGGAAACUGGGUCUAAUACCGGAUAGGACCACUGCCUGCAUGGGUGGUGGUGGAAAGCUUUUGCGGUGUGGGAUGGGCCCGCGGCCUAUCAGCUUGUUGGUGGGGUGAUGGCCUACCAAGGCGACGACGGGUAGCCGGCCUGAGAGGGUGACCGGCCACAGUGGGACUGAGAUACGGCCCAGACUCCUACGGGAGGCAGCAGUGGGGAAUAUUGCACAAUGGGCGCAAGCCUGAUGCAGCGACGCCGCGUGAGGGAUGACGGCCUUCGGGUUGUAAACCUCUUUCAGCACCGACGAAGCGCAAGUGACGGUAGGUGCAGAAGAAGGACCGGCCAACUACGUGCCAGCCGCCGCGGUAA
This 478-nucleotide ribosomal RNA is filed under the name uncultured bacterium. RNAcentral describes it as "partial 16S ribosomal RNA". It matches the Rfam family "Bacterial small subunit ribosomal RNA", at positions 28 to 523 of the family's 1533-position model. The record is from RNAcentral.